GUAGGUGGCGAGCGUUAUCCGGAUUUACUGGGCGUAAAGGGAGCGUAGGCGGAUGAUUAAGUGGGAUGUGAAAUACCCGGGCUCAACUUGGGUGCUGCAUUCCAAACUGGUUAUCUAGAGUGCAGGAGAGGAGAGUGGAAUUCCUAGUGUAGCGGUGAAAUGCGUAGAUAUUAGGAGGAACACCAGUGGCGAAGGCGGCUUGCUGGACGAUGACUGACGUUGAGGCUCGAAAGCGUGGGGAGCAAACAGGAUUAGAUACCCUGGUAGUCCACGCCGUAAACGAUGACUACUAGGUGUCGGGGAGCAAAGCUCUUCGGUGCCGCAGCCAACGCAAUAAGUAGUCCACCUGGGGAGU
RNAcentral lists this ribosomal RNA (355 nucleotides) under uncultured bacterium. RNAcentral's name for it is "bacterial SSU rRNA". It matches the Rfam family "Bacterial small subunit ribosomal RNA", at positions 527 to 881 of the family's 1533-position model. The record is from RNAcentral.